GGUUGGCGUAGUCCGCGGUCCAGGUGCCCAGCGCCUUGAGGGUGCUGGUGACCGCCUGCGGGCUGCCGGUCAGCCAGCUCCAGCCCGGGCCGCUCU
This 96-nucleotide transfer RNA is filed under the name compost metagenome. Its description in RNAcentral is "tRNA-Ser". The record is from RNAcentral.